UCUAAAACCAAAUAAAAUCAAUAUACUGUACAUGUGUGUAGUGUAAGCGUUCAUUUUCUGGAAGAGGCUGUAAAACAGAGUUAAAAGGUGACCGAUGGCAGCCGUACUGAGUCAGCUGGGGAGUAAACUGUGGCGGUUCUCAGAGGUAGCUCAUGUGAGCCAGCAGUGACAUCUGUACAUGCAGUAGCCUUAAAAUGCUGAUUAUUUAUUCUCCUGCUAGAACAGGAGGCGAGAGCAGAGAACAAGAGUGCAGCAGUUUGGUGAAAGGUGAAGAAGAGGUGAGCAUCCAAAAGACGAGCAAGAGGACAGUUUCAUAGGAGACAUCACGGCACAAUAAAAGCUAGAAACUCACCUGAUGUAGUGGUAAGGCCAUGUUCACCACUAGAUGGAGACAACCUGGCACAGUCUAUAGAUCCAGUCACACUUUCUACCUUCACCUGUGCAGUAAAGACUGAGAGCAGAGCUGAAACCAACCGUCCAAUCAGUGAGCAGCAUCAACACCUGAGCUUCAUUCAGACUCUGUUAUUGAAGAUGUUGUUGGUGCAAAGUUCAUCUGCUGCUCACAUGAAUCCAUGAAAGAUUUAUUUCACUGAAUGUUUCUUCAAAGCUCAUUUCAACCUGUUGAAGUCAUGAAUGAAAGUGCAGACUGAGAGUGGAUCACAUGAUGUUUAAGGUGAGUCAUGUGACAUGUUCAGUAUUGUCACACAUGUCUAGAUUGUCCCUGAUAUCAUAACUGCUCAAACACUGAUGAUUAUAUUUGAAGAAUUAUUCCUGAUGGCAGCAAAGUUUGAAUGGAGCUCUCUGUCUGUGCUGAUUUGUCGCCCUC
Long non-coding RNA from Pelmatolapia mariae (spotted tilapia), 826 nucleotides. RefSeq lists it as uncharacterized. The transcript has 5 exons. The record is from RefSeq and is a predicted model, not a curated record. NCBI's taxonomy places the organism in Eukaryota, Metazoa, Chordata, Actinopteri, Cichliformes, Cichlidae.